UGCAGGCAUUAAAGACCAUAAAUUUCCUUCCGAGUCCAGCUUAGCCACUUCUCCAGGUUUGGGGGAGGUGUUGAUAUACGGGAGUCGAUGGAUUCCAUCCGGGCAGCAGCGGCGUGUGGGCGGAAUGAGGUCCCUGGCCUGAGCCUCAGAGUGGUCCUCGGGGCCGGGGGGGCCUCGGAAAUCCAAUCCGGGGCACUUCACAGGAGACAGUGGGGCUGCAGCCGUUUCCCUGAGCUGGCUGAGGGGUCCCUGCCGAGAGACCGACAGGGCCACCAGGACUUCAACAGCAUCCUCUGACCCGCUCCUGCCCUGCUUUCCUACCCUCACAUGGCUUCCCAUUGCCCCAGGGGGGACUCCUGACAGUGGCCUCCAUGCGCCUCCCUGCCCAAGGGGGCAGCCUCCUCACCC
RNAcentral lists this long non-coding RNA (408 nucleotides) under Equus caballus (horse). Its description in RNAcentral is "lncRNA (ENSECAG00000030266.2)". Lineage: Eukaryota; Metazoa; Chordata; Mammalia; Perissodactyla; Equidae. The record is from RNAcentral.